This 468-nucleotide ribosomal RNA is filed under the name uncultured bacterium. Its description in RNAcentral is "partial 16S ribosomal RNA". It matches the Rfam family "Bacterial small subunit ribosomal RNA", at positions 28 to 507 of the family's 1533-position model. The record is from RNAcentral.
GACGAACGCUGGCGGCGUGUUUAACACAUGCAAGUCGAACGGAAAGGCCCUGCUUUUGUGGGGUGCUCGAGUGGCGAACGGGUGAGUAACACGUGAGUAACCUGCCCUUGACUUUGGGAUAACUUCAGGAAACUGGGGCUAAUACCGGAUAGGAGCUCCUGCUGCAUGGUGGGGGUUGGAAAGUUUCGGCGGUUGGGGAUGGACUCGCGGCUUAUCAGCUUGUUGGUGGGGUAGUGGCUUACCAAGGCUUUGACGGGUAGCCGGCCUGAGAGGGUGACCGGCCACAUUGGGACUGAGAUACGGCCCAGACUCCUACGGGGGGCAGCAGUGGGGAAUAUUGCACAAUGGGCGGAAGCCUGAUGCAGCAACGCCGCGUGCGGGAUGACGGCCUUCGGGUUGUAAACCGCUUUCGCCUGUGACGAAGCGUGAGUGACGGUAAUGGGUAAAGAAGCACCGGCUAACUACGUG